UGGGGAAUAUUGGACAAUGGGCGCAAGCCUGAUCCAGCAACGCCGCGUGGAGGACGAAGGCCUUCGGGUCGUAAACUCCUGUCAGGCGGGACGAAGGUGUGGGGGUAAAUAAUCCUUACGCUUGACGGUACCGUCAGAGGAAGCCCCGGAUAACUCCGUGCCAGCAGCCGCGGUAAUACGGAGGGGGCGAGCGUUAUUCGGAAUUAUUGGGCGUAAAGGGCGCGUAGGCGGCUUGGCAAGUCAAAGGUGAAAUCCCUCGGCUCAACUGAGGAACUGCCUUUGAAACUGCCUGGCUUGAGGCCGGGAGGGGGUAGCGGAAUUCCCAGUGUAGCGGUGAAAUGCGUAGAUAUUGGGAGGAACACCAGUGGCGAAGGCGGCUACCUGGACCGGUUCUGACGCUGAUGCGCGAAAGCGUGGGUAGCAAA
Molecule: ribosomal RNA, 425 nt
Filed under: uncultured bacterium
Lineage: Bacteria
Description: bacterial SSU rRNA
Rfam family: Bacterial small subunit ribosomal RNA
Source: RNAcentral